This 348-nucleotide ribosomal RNA is filed under the name uncultured bacterium. RNAcentral's name for it is "bacterial SSU rRNA". It matches the Rfam family "Bacterial small subunit ribosomal RNA", at positions 607 to 941 of the family's 1533-position model. The record is from RNAcentral.
CCCAUAGCCUGCAUUUGUAAACUUGUUAGUUUCUUUGUAGUUGUCUUGGUAGUAGGUCUAAUUCGGUAAUUUCCGUUGUUGUUAGCGGUGAAAUGCAUAGAUAUACGGAGGAACACCAGUGGCGAAGGCGGAUUGCUGGACAGUAACUGACGCUGAGGCGCGAAAGCGUGGGGAGCAAACAGGAUUAGAUACCCUGGUAGUCCACGCCGUAAACGAUGAGUGCUAAGUGUUAGGGGGUUUCCGCCCCUUAGUGCUGCAGCUAACGCAUUAAGCACUCCGCCUGGGGAGUACGCACGCAAGUGUGAAACUCAAAGGAAUUGACGGGGCCCGCACAAGCGGUGGAGUAUG